Molecule: non-coding RNA, 71 nt
Organism: Zopfochytrium polystomum
Lineage: Eukaryota; Fungi; Chytridiomycota; Chytridiomycetes; Chytridiales; Chytridiaceae
Source: the annotation of a GenBank genome assembly
GCUCCCUUGCUCAGUGGUUAGAGUGCUCCCUUCAAUUGGGAAGGUGCCAAGUUCGAGACAUGUCAGGAACA